AGCAUUUAGAAUGUCAAGGCUGCCUUUUUAUUUGUGGACGCUUUGAAUUAGCUGCGUUAACUCUGUGGACAAUGGAUAUUGCUAAUAUGUCUGUUAUGAUAGCCCCAAGUCCUCAAAUGGCCCCUUUAGAAACACAGGAUAAUGUUCAUGUGAGCUGACCUGACCAAAGAUUUCUUACAUUUUAUACUUCAUGCUCGUUUAUGGAGGCAACCAAACUUCUUUUUUCUUCUCUUUCUGCUGCAUUGACCAAGAGCUCAGCGAGGGAUAGCGUUUAGCUGAGUUGUCUAUACACAAUGACAAACAUCAAAGCAAUUCCAAGCGUCGCUGCAGCUUUCAUUGGAAUAUUUGCAGUGAAUUUGUGCUAUGUGGGUCCACAUAUGUGCGCAUCAGCGCAUUUCACCAGCGUGGAUGUUCCAGGAUCUGAGGUCGAGCACUACCCGCCAGUACUAUGGGACGAUGUAGACCCUUAUGUUUAAAAUAAAAAAAAAGCUAACAUAAAGAAUGAUUUGCAUGUAUGCUGCGUUACACACAAUUUGAUGAUCACACAUUGUAAACAUAAAACAGUGUUAAAGGGAUUUUGAAACACUUUUUCAAGUAACCGUGUUGCAUAUCAUGUCGAAUAUGAAGGUAUGAUACCCUUAAUACGAGCCCACACUCUCUUGUAGAACCUAUUGUGAAUAAAAGGCUAUGAACAAGUUGA
This is a long non-coding RNA of Rhipicephalus microplus (southern cattle tick), 700 nucleotides long. The record is from RefSeq and is a predicted model, not a curated record. Lineage: Eukaryota; Metazoa; Arthropoda; Arachnida; Ixodida; Ixodidae.